AAAGCAGAGUCCAGGCUUAGACUGCAGCUCCUCGCUUACCUGUGCAGUCUAAUUUUGAGCUGCCUCUUUGUAGUCCCAAAAGACAGGAGCUCCCUGUUGUGGGUCUACUAACCCGUACGUUUCCGUGGGCAAGUCUUGUGUGUACUCCUCACCAUGGCUCAGCUCCAAACACGCUUCUACACUAAUGACAAGAAAUAUGCCAUAGAUGAUGUUCCCUUCUCAAUCCCUACCACCUCUGAAAUUGCUGACCUUAGUAACAUCAUCAAUAAACUACUAAAGGACAAAAAUGAGUUCCACAAACGUGGAGUUUGAUUUCCUUAUUAAGGACCAGUUUCUGCAAAUGCCCUUGUUCAAACACAUGGAACUGGAGAACAUCUCAUCAGAAGCAGCUGUGGAAAUAGAAACGAGCAGUAUACUGCACCCCAGCCAGAGCAAUGCAUGUUCCAUGAUGACUGGAUCAGUUCAAUUAAAGGAGCAGAGGAAUGGAUCUUGACUGGUUCUUAUGACAAGACUUCUUGGAUCUGGUCCUUGGAAGGAAAGUCAAUAAUGACAAUUGUGGGACAUACGGAUGUUGUAAAAGAUGUGGCCUGGGUGAAAAAAGAUAGCUUGUCCUGCUUAUUAUUGAGUGCCUCUAUGGAUCAGACUAUUCUCUUAUGGGAGUGGAAUGUAGAGAGAAACAAAGUGAAAGCCCUACACUGCUGUAGAGGUCAUGCUGGAAGUGUAGAUUCUAUAGCUGUUGAUGGCACAGGAACUAAAUUUUGUAGUGGCUCCUGGAAUAAGAUGCUAAAGAUCUUGUCUACAGUCCCCACAGAUGAAGAAGAUGAGAUGGAGGAGUCCACAAAUCAACCAAGAAAGAAACAGAAAACAGAAGAGUUGGAACCAACAAGGACUCCCAUAGUGACCCUCUCUGGCCAUAUGGAAGCAGACCAUCAGUUCUGUGGUCAGAUACUGAAGAAAUCUGCAGUGCAUCUUGGGACCAUACAAUUAGAGUGUGGGAUGUUGAGUUUGGCAGUCUUAAGUCAACUUUGACAGGAAAUAAAGUGUUUAAUUGUAUUUCCUAUACUCCACUUUGUAAAUGUUUAGCAUCUGGAAGCACAGAUAGGCAUAUCAGACUGUGGGAUCCCCAAACUAAAGAUGGUUCUUUGAUGUCGCUGUCCCUAACCUCACAUACCGGUUAUGUGACAACAGUAAAAUGGUCUCCUUCUUAUGAACAGCGCUGAUCUCAGGAUCUUUAGAUAACAUUGUUAAGCUGUGAGAUACAAGAAGUUGUAAGGCUCCUCUCUGUGAUCUGGCUGCUCAUGAAGAAAAAGUUCUGAGUGUAGACUGGACAGACACAGGGCUACUUCUGAGUGGAGGAACAGACAAUAAAUUGUAUUCCUACAGAUAUUCCCCUACCACUUCCCAUGUGGGGGCAUGAAAAUGAACAAUAAUUUGACUAUAGAGAUUAUUUCUGUAAUUGAAAUUGGUAGAGAAUCAUGAAAUUACAUAGAUGCAGAUGCAGAAAGCAGCCUUUUGAAGUUAAUAUAAUGUUUUCACCCUUCAUAACAGCUAACAUAUCACUUUUUCUUAUUUUGCAUUUGUAAUAAGAUAGGUUGUAUUUAUAAAAUAUAAACUGUGGCAUGCAUUCUCUAUACAAACUUGAAAUUAAACUGAGUUUUACAUUUCUCUUUAAAAAAAAAAAAGACAAAAACAAGAA
Mandrillus leucophaeus (drill) is the source of this 1696-nucleotide RNA transcript. It is a transcript of the gene named ribosome biogenesis protein WDR12 pseudogene, with no coding region annotated. NCBI's taxonomy places the organism in Eukaryota, Metazoa, Chordata, Mammalia, Primates, Cercopithecidae. The transcript has a single exon. The record is from RefSeq and is a predicted model, not a curated record.